CCUACGGGAGGCAGCAGUGAGGAAUAUUGGUCAAUGGGCGCGAGCCUGAACCAGCCAAGUAGCGUGAAGGAUGACUGCCCUACGGGUUGUAAACUUCUUUUAUAAAGGAAUAAAGUGAGGCACGUGUGCCUUUUUGUGUGUACUUUAUGAAUAAGGAUCGGCUAACUCCGUGCCAGCAGCCGCGGUAAUACGGAGGAUCCGAGCGUUAUCCGGAUUUAUUGGGAUUAAAGGGAGCGUAGACGGGGUGUUAAGUCAGUUGUGAAAGUUUGCGGCUCAACCGUAAAAUUGCAAUUGAUCUUGGCAGCCUUGAGUACAGUUGAGGUAGGCGGAAUUCGUGGUGUAGCGGUGAAAUGCUUAGAUAUCACGAAGAACUCCGAUUGCGAAGGCAGCUUACUAAACUGCCACUGACAUUGAGGCUCGAAAGUGUGGGUAUCGAACAGGAUUAGAUACCCUAGUAGUC
RNAcentral lists this ribosomal RNA (460 nucleotides) under uncultured bacterium. RNAcentral describes it as "partial 16S ribosomal RNA". It matches the Rfam family "Bacterial small subunit ribosomal RNA", at positions 338 to 795 of the family's 1533-position model. The record is from RNAcentral.